Molecule: ribosomal RNA, 820 nt
Filed under: Bacillus sp. QJJN29
Lineage: Bacteria; Bacillati; Bacillota; Bacilli; Caryophanales; Bacillaceae
Description: bacterial SSU rRNA
Rfam family: Bacterial small subunit ribosomal RNA
Source: RNAcentral
CGAAGAAGGUCUUCGGAUCGUAAAGCUCUGUUGUUAGGGAAGAACAAGUACCGUUCAAAUAGGGCGGUACCUUGACGGUACCUAACCAGAAAGCCACGGCUAACUACGUGCCAGCAGCCGCGGUAAUACGUAGGUGGCAAGCGUUAUCCGGAAUUAUUGGGCGUAAAGCGCGCGCAGGCGGUCCUUUAAGUCUGAUGUGAAAGCCCACGGCUCAACCGUGGAGGGUCAUUGGAAACUGGGGGACUUGAGUGCAGAAGAGGAGAGCGGAAUUCCACGUGUAGCGGUGAAAUGCGUAGAGAUGUGGAGGAACACCAGUGGCGAAGGCGGCUCUCUGGUCUGUAACUGACGCUGAGGCGCGAAAGCGUGGGGAGCGAACAGGAUUAGAUACCCUGGUAGUCCACGCCGUAAACGAUGAGUGCUAAGUGUUAGAGGGUUUCCGCCCUUUAGUGCUGCAGCAAACGCAUUAAGCACUCCGCCUGGGGAGUACGGUCGCAAGACUGAAACUCAAAGGAAUUGACGGGGGCCCGCACAAGCGGUGGAGCAUGUGGUUUAAUUCGAAGCAACGCGAAGAACCUUACCAGGUCUUGACAUCCCUAGGCCAUCUUCUAGAGAUAGAGCUUUCCCUUCGGGGACAUAAGGUGACAGGUGGUGCAUGGUUGUCGUCAGCUCGUGUCGUGAGAUGUUGGGUUAAGUCCCGCAACGAGCGCAACCCUUGAUCUUAGUUGCCAGCAUUCAGUUGGGCACUCUAAGGUGACUGCCGGUGACAAACCGGAGGAAGGUGGGGAUGACGUCAAAUCAUCAUGCCCCUUAUGACCUGGGC